CCGCGCGCCGUGGACAGCGAUUGGCCUUAUUCGUCAAGGGUCGCUACUCCAGUAACAUUUUUGGAGGCCCAUGGUUCAUCCGGGACCGUGUACGUCGCUGAUGAAUGGAGCAGGCCCUUCUCCUCCAACAGGCCCAUUCCCACGCGGCUCGCUCGACCCCAACCCUAGCCGCCACUGCUCCAUGUGCCUCGCGCCGGCGGCCGACGGGACGAAGGACGCGGCCACGCCGCCCUUUCCCAGACGCCCCGGUAGCGCCGCCUUCUUCUCCCCCUGAUGCCCCUCACGAGCGCCUCCGCGACGAGGACCUGCUCCAUCUCCCUCUGCUGCCCCGUUUGAGCGCCGCCGCGAUCUUGAGAUGCUCCAGCGACGCCGCCCCGAUCGAGCUCCUCUGCAACCAGCAAGACCUCCGCCUUCAUCUCCCUCGGCCGCCGCCGGUAGUACGUGUUCCUUCUUCCCUCUUCGGUCGCGGUCGAGCGACGCCACGUGCUCCAGCGACGCCGCCCCGACCUAGCUCAUUCACCUGCACGCCCUCCACUCUGGCCCCGACGACUAGGAAAGCUCAGCAUGCCGUCCCGCGUCAACUUCUCCAACGCCUGGCGGCUCAUCGGCGACACGGCCAUGAACCCCGUCGACAUAGUCUUCGGUGAGAAUUACCAACUGACUGUCACCUGCUAAUUGAUAUUGGAAAAGCGUUCUUCUCUUCUUCCCGCGUCACCUGCUAAUUGAUAUUGGAAAAGCGUUCUUCCCUUCCUUCCCAAAAUUGGUGCAAAUUGGGAUGCUUUUGGAUGCCAUGAUGAUGGAGGCCAGGAAGGGCUUGAUGGAGAGGGAGAGGGAUCAGUUUUCGGUCAGCAUACGGGUCAUGGCUGUCAACAAUGACCACGUGUGCCUCAAUGUUAUGAAGGUCAUCCUCCAGCACUGCCAGUAUCAUGGUCAGAGCCUCCUUGCACUUCAUUGUGUAUAUUUUUGUUAGAAACUUCAUCGAGUUUUAAUUAUUACGCCCAUGAGCAAAUGCAGUCACAUUAUCUUCAAUGCCAAGAUCAACGUUCUCCUGACCUUCAGGCCCUUUGCUAUCACGUUCCAUUACCUCUCCAGAAACCACAAUAAUCGCACUUGCAAAUUAAUUUGCAGUAUUCAUCAGAGUUGUACAGUAUGACUUUCCUUUUAUGAUUUAUUUUUUCUAUAUAUUUAGUGGUACUUCUGAAUCUUUCAUAGCACAAGCAUUCUUCUAAUGCAUUAUAUGUCACCUUUAGUAGCAGGAGCAAGACAGUGCCUUCUAUAUCCUCAAUUCCCUAUCUUCAAAUGCUUCAUAGCAAGGAUGGGUUCCCUUUGCUAGGUGGGGACUUCUAAAUGCUACUGGAAAUAAGAUGAAGAUGAUUAUUUGAACAUGCACACAAGAAUGAAAUGAUUUGUGACAUCCAGCAGCCACUACUACGCUCUGUAAUGUCAAAGAUAUUGUUAUUGUGGUGAUGUGCUUCCUUUGAUGCCUUCCUUUGAUGAUUCGCUUCAGCCUAGAUGUUGGUGCACUACGGAAACUUGAAGUUUCUCUUUCACAUAUACUGCAUCAUGACUGUGCAUUGAUCCAAGGAAUUCAAGGUGCAUAUCUUCGACAAACUUGUGCAGUGAAGCGGGAUCGCAGCUCAGGUGCUCAUCAAGCAUAAUCUCCCGAGAGUUUAGGAAGCACCUCUCUGAUCCUGGUUUUGAUUCCAAGUUGUAGGCCGGAAAUGUCGUACUCGGACGACGAAAAUCGCCCGGGGAGUACGACUGGUGCCACGAUGACCGAGGUAUGUGCGACAGGUUCAUUGAGCUGGACGAAGAUUGACGCUUCAGCAUUAAGCUCGAGGAGACCUUCGAUGUUCAUACGAUUAUCUCAUGCUAUGCAAAACGCUAUGUCUUGGAGAGGAUGGGUUUUGAAGACCAUGAAAGUAUGGAAACCAAAACAAAUUCUCCUAAGGACCCAUCAUGGUAUGGAUUUUCAAGUAAAGUUGUAUAAGAAAGCAAAAAGAAUAGCAAAAAUUGGAAAGCACUUUGCAAGAUGUAUGGUUUUGAUGAGGGUAUGCUUGUCACCAUGGAUCUUGGUGAUCCUACAAUCGAGCAAGACAGACCUUCGAUUUGGGUCCUUGUGGAUACACCUCCAAUUCUUCCCCCAUAAUGUGCGGAAGAUGGUAGACAAAACCCACUACACCGAUGGCUCCAAAUUAACUUAUAGGGAGAAAAAUCAUCUGAUCGCAUUUUGUACUGAUCUUGAG
Long non-coding RNA from Triticum aestivum (bread wheat), 2246 nucleotides. RefSeq lists it as uncharacterized. The transcript has 7 exons. The record is from RefSeq and is a predicted model, not a curated record. NCBI's taxonomy places the organism in Eukaryota, Viridiplantae, Streptophyta, Magnoliopsida, Poales, Poaceae.